CCGAGUGAGGGCCCUCUGGGUCCAACCUCCCACCUGUGUUUAUUUUACCUUGUUGCUUCGGCGAGCCUGCCUUUUGGCUGCCGGGGGACAUCUGUCCCCGGGUCCGCGCUCGCCGAAGACACCUUAGAACUCUGUCUGAAGAUUGUAGUCUGAGAUUAAAUAUAAAUUAUUUAAAG
This 176-nucleotide unclassified non-coding RNA is filed under the name uncultured Penicillium. Lineage: Eukaryota; Fungi; Ascomycota; Eurotiomycetes; Eurotiales; Aspergillaceae. The record is from RNAcentral.